AGAACGAACGCUGGCGGCGCGCCUAAUACAUGCAAGUCGAGCGAGAAGACGUAGCAAUACGUUUGUAAAGCGGCGAACGGGUGAGGAAUACAUGGGUAACCUACCCUCGAGUGGGGAAUAACUAGCCGAAAGGUUAGCUAAUACCGCGUACGCUCCUUGGACUUCGGUUCAGGGAGGAAAGCGAUACCGUGGGUAUCGCGCUCUUGGAUGGGCUCAUGUCCUAUCAGCUUGUUGGUGAGGUAACGGCUCACCAAGGCUUCGACGGGUAGCUGGUCUGAGAGGACGAUCAGCCACACUGGCACUGCGACACGGGCCAGACUCCUACGGGAGGCAGCAGUAAGGAAUAUUGCGCAAUGGGCGAAAGCCUGACGCAGCGACGCCGCGUGGGGGAUGAAGGUCUUCGGAUUGUAAACCCGUUUCGGAGGAAGAUGGAACGAGCAAUCGUCGACGUACCUCAGAGCAGCCACGGCUAACUCGUGCCAGCAGCCGCGGUAACUC
RNAcentral lists this ribosomal RNA (498 nucleotides) under uncultured soil bacterium. Its description in RNAcentral is "bacterial SSU rRNA". It matches the Rfam family "Bacterial small subunit ribosomal RNA", at positions 26 to 526 of the family's 1533-position model. The record is from RNAcentral.